AGUGCUAGUAGAGAGCUGCUGAAGGAUGAAGGGACCAGACCUUGGAUGGAGAAGUGGUGCCGAGCAGAGCUGAGACUGAUAGCUGACUGGAGCGGAUGGUGGCAGCAGCAGCUACAGCAGAUAACACAGUAAACCCAACAGGACAGAGUGAGCCUGAGUCCUUAGUCCUUGGGAUACUAAACAGGGGACCUAGGUCUGAGGACAGGUUGGUGGCUGCUUCCCUGGCUGCUACAGCUAUAAAGAGCUAUGUCUGGUUCAAGAUAGCACAUCUCAGCGAGCCACAGAAUAAAGCCCAUGAGCCAAGGAUUGAGUGAAGAUUGCUUACCUUGCCCAUCUAUAAACUAUUAUCCCUGAUAAUCAAAUUCUUGAGUCUAUUUACAAAGUCUUCAUUUUCUAAUGAUAUACUACGACUUGCAGGGCUGGCUCCAGGCACCAGCGAAGGAAGCAGGUGCCUGGGGCGGCCAAUAGAAAGAGGCAGCACUCUGUGCGUUACUGGGGCGGCACAUCCACGUCUUCAGCAGCAAUUCGGCAGCGAGUUCUUCAUUCCCUCUCUACCUCUUCGGCGGCAGCUCAAUGGGGUUUUUCUUUUGUCGCCACUUGGGGCAGCAAAAAAGCUGGAGCCGGCCCUGAUGACUGGACUCACCAAAAUUUUGGGAAAUAAUACCUUGGUUUUAACUUACCAAGGAUAAAGCACCCCAGAGGCAGUUCACCCUCAAGGGUAUAAUCUCUGUUAAAAAUGCUCUAGAGAGACAGACAUACAGAAUCAAUUGUAACAAAAGUAACUAGUUUAUCAUUUGUGUUCUGUUCUGUGUUAUAUCUAAUGUGUAUUUUUUUUUACUUCCUUUAAGAAUAAAAUAGC
Long non-coding RNA from Caretta caretta (loggerhead turtle), 859 nucleotides. RefSeq lists it as uncharacterized. The record is from RefSeq and is a predicted model, not a curated record. Lineage: Eukaryota; Metazoa; Chordata; Testudines; Cheloniidae.